RNAcentral lists this ribosomal RNA (2904 nucleotides) under Salmonella enterica. RNAcentral describes it as "23S ribosomal RNA". It matches the Rfam family "Bacterial large subunit ribosomal RNA". Lineage: Bacteria; Pseudomonadati; Pseudomonadota; Gammaproteobacteria; Enterobacterales; Enterobacteriaceae. The record is from RNAcentral.
GGUUAAGCGACUAAGCGUACACGGUGGAUGCCCUGGCAGUCAGAGGCGAUGAAGGGCGUGCUAAUCUGCGAUAAGCGCCGGUAAGGUGAUAUGAACCGUUAUAACCGGCGAUACCCGAAUGGGGAAACCCAGUGUGACUCGUCACACUAUCAUUAACUGAAUCCAUAGGUUAAUGAGGCGAACCGGGGGAACUGAAACAUCUAAGUACCCCGAGGAAAAGAAAUCAACCGAGAUUCCCCCAGUAGCGGCGAGCGAACGGGGAGGAGCCCAGAGCCUGAAUCAGCAUGUGUGUUAGUGGAAGCGUCUGGAAAGGCGCGCGAUACAGGGUGACAGCCCCGUACACAAAAGCGCAUGUGCUGUGAGCUCGAUGAGUAGGGCGGGACACGUGGUAUCCUGUCUGAAUAUGGGGGGACCAUCCUCCAAGGCUAAAUACUCCUGACUGACCGAUAGUGAACCAGUACCGUGAGGGAAAGGCGAAAAGAACCCCGGCGAGGGGAGUGAAAAAGAACCUGAAACCGUGUACGUACAAGCAGUGGGAGCACCCUUUGGGGUGUGACUGCGUACCUUUUGUAUAAUGGGUCAGCGACUUAUAUUCUGUAGCAAGGUUAACCGUAUAGGGGAGCCGUAGGGAAACCGAGUCUUAACCGGGCGUUAAGUUGCAGGGUAUAGACCCGAAACCCGGUGAUCUAGCCAUGGGCAGGUUGAAGGUUGGGUAACACUAACUGGAGGACCGAACCGACUAAUGUUGAAAAAUUAGCGGAUGACCUGUGGCUGGGGGUGAAAGGCCAAUCAAACCGGGAGAUAGCUGGUUCUCCCCGAAAGCUAUUUAGGUAGCGCCUCGUGAAUUCAUCUCCGGGGGUAGAGCACUGUUUCGGCUAGGGGGCCAUCCCGGCUUACCAACCCGAUGCAAACUGCGAAUACCGGAGAAUGUUAUCACGGGAGACACACGGCGGGUGCUAACGUCCGUCGUGAAGAGGGAAACAACCCAGACCGCCAGCUAAGGUCCCAAAGUCAUGGUUAAGUGGGAAACGAUGUGGGAAGGCCCAGACAGCCAGGAUGUUGGCUUAGAAGCAGCCAUCAUUUAAAGAAAGCGUAAUAGCUCACUGGUCGAGUCGGCCUGCGCGGAAGAUGUAACGGGGCUAAACCAUGCACCGAAGCUGCGGCAGCGACACUCAGGUGUUGUUGGGUAGGGGAGCGUUCUGUAAGCCUGUGAAGGUGGCCUGUGAGGGUUGCUGGAGGUAUCAGAAGUGCGAAUGCUGACAUAAGUAACGAUAAAGCGGGUGAAAAGCCCGCUCGCCGGAAGACCAAGGGUUCCUGUCCAACGUUAAUCGGGGCAGGGUGAGUCGACCCCUAAGGCGAGGCCGAAAGGCGUAGUCGAUGGGAAACGGGUUAAUAUUCCCGUACUUGGUGUUACUGCGAAGGGGGGACGGAGAAGGCUAUGUUGGCCGGGCGACGGUUGUCCCGGUUUAAGCGUGUAGGCUGGUUUUCCAGGCAAAUCCGGAAAAUCAAGGCUGAGGCGUGACGACGAGGCACUACGGUGCUGAAGCAACAAAUGCCCUGCUUCCAGGAAAAGCCUCUAAGCAUCAGGUAACAUCAAAUCGUACCCCAAACCGACACAGGUGGUCAGGUAGAGAAUACCAAGGCGCUUGAGAGAACUCGGGUGAAGGAACUAGGCAAAAUGGUGCCGUAACUUCGGGAGAAGGCACGCUGACACGUAGGUGAAGUGAUUUACUCAUGGAGCUGAAGUCAGUCGAAGAUACCAGCUGGCUGCAACUGUUUAUUAAAAACACAGCACUGUGCAAACACGAAAGUGGACGUAUACGGUGUGACGCCUGCCCGGUGCCGGAAGGUUAAUUGAUGGGGUCAGCGCAAGCGAAGCUCCUGAUCGAAGCCCCGGUAAACGGCGGCCGUAACUAUAACGGUCCUAAGGUAGCGAAAUUCCUUGUCGGGUAAGUUCCGACCUGCACGAAUGGCGUAAUGAUGGCCAGGCUGUCUCCACCCGAGACUCAGUGAAAUUGAACUCGCUGUGAAGAUGCAGUGUACCCGCGGCAAGACGGAAAGACCCCGUGAACCUUUACUAUAGCUUGACACUGAACAUUGAGCCUUGAUGUGUAGGAUAGGUGGGAGGCUUUGAAGCGUGGACGCCAGUCUGCGUGGAGCCAACCUUGAAAUACCACCCUUUAAUGUUUGAUGUUCUAACGUGGACCCGUAAUCCGGGUUGCGGACAGUGUCUGGUGGGUAGUUUGACUGGGGCGGUCUCCUCCUAAAGAGUAACGGAGGAGCACGAAGGUUGGCUAAUCCUGGUCGGACAUCAGGAGGUUAGUGCAAUGGCAUAAGCCAGCUUGACUGCGAGCGUGACGGCGCGAGCAGGUGCGAAAGCAGGUCAUAGUGAUCCGGUGGUUCUGAAUGGAAGGGCCAUCGCUCAACGGAUAAAAGGUACUCCGGGGAUAACAGGCUGAUACCGCCCAAGAGUUCAUAUCGACGGCGGUGUUUGGCACCUCGAUGUCGGCUCAUCACAUCCUGGGGCUGAAGUAGGUCCCAAGGGUAUGGCUGUUCGCCAUUUAAAGUGGUACGCGAGCUGGGUUUAGAACGUCGUGAGACAGUUCGGUCCCUAUCUGCCGUGGGCGCUGGAGAACUGAGGGGGGCUGCUCCUAGUACGAGAGGACCGGAGUGGACGCAUCACUGGUGUUCGGGUUGUCAUGCCAAUGGCACUGCCCGGUAGCUAAAUGCGGAAGAGAUAAGUGCUGAAAGCAUCUAAGCACGAAACUUGCCCCGAGAUGAGUUCUCCCUGAGACUUUAGGUCUCCUGAAGGAACGUUGAAGACGACGACGUUGAUAGGCCGGGUGUGUAAGCGCAGCGAUGCGUUGAGCUAACCGGUACUAAUGAACCGUGAGGCUUAACCUU